ACAGAGGUCCCAAGCGUUGUUCGGAUUCACUGGGCGUAAAGGGUGCGUAGGUGGUGGGGUAAGUCGGAUGUGAAAUCUCCAAGCUCAACUUGGAAACUGCAUUGGAAACUACCUUGCUAGAGGAUUUGAGGGGGGAUUGGAAUACUUGGUGUAGCAGUGAAAUGCGUAGAUAUCAAGUGGAACACCAGUGGCGAAGGCGAAUCCCUGGAAAAUACCUGACACUGAGGCACGAAAGCUAGGGGAGCAAACAGGA
This 253-nucleotide ribosomal RNA is filed under the name uncultured prokaryote. RNAcentral describes it as "partial 16S ribosomal RNA". It matches the Rfam family "Bacterial small subunit ribosomal RNA", at positions 525 to 777 of the family's 1533-position model. The record is from RNAcentral.